GAAAUGCGAAAAGCAAUGCGAAUUGCAGAAUUCCGCGAGUCAUCAGAUCUUCGAACGCACCUCGCGCCGAUCGGAUCUCCGAUUGGCAUGUUUGUUUCAGUGUGUUGUUAAGACUCACAAAUCUCAAUGUGAUUGACAGUGGCGUUUCCACUCAUGUGGUACAUCAAUGUCUCUCAUGAAAUAAGCGCUGUGCGAACCGCACUGAUGCAGUAGUCAGUCCUCGUGAUUGAUACUCAUUGGUCGGUAUCAAGCAACAGUGAAGUCUAACAUAUCAUCACAUACGCAUCUGAGGCAAGCAAGAUCACCCGCUGAACUUAA
RNAcentral lists this unclassified non-coding RNA (318 nucleotides) under uncultured Ophiostomataceae. Its description in RNAcentral is "sequence contains ITS1". The stretch from base 1 to 105 matches the Rfam family "5.8S ribosomal RNA", at positions 50 to 154 of the family's 154-position model. Lineage: Eukaryota; Fungi; Ascomycota; Sordariomycetes; Ophiostomatales. The record is from RNAcentral.